GGUAAGGUGGCCGAGCGUCAGGUAGCGGUUUGUAGCACCGUAAACAGAGGUUUAAUUCCUCUUCUUAUCA
Molecule: transfer RNA, 70 nt
Filed under: Horadandia atukorali (golden rasbora)
Lineage: Eukaryota; Metazoa; Chordata; Actinopteri; Cypriniformes; Danionidae
Description: tRNA-Tyr
Rfam family: tRNA
About the family: Transfer RNA (tRNA) molecules are approximately 80 nucleotides in length.
Source: RNAcentral